RNAcentral lists this ribosomal RNA (184 nucleotides) under uncultured bacterium. Its description in RNAcentral is "partial 16S rRNA". It matches the Rfam family "Bacterial small subunit ribosomal RNA", at positions 355 to 530 of the family's 1533-position model. The record is from RNAcentral.
UAGGGAAUCUUCGGCAAUGGACGAAAGUCUGACCGAGCAACGCCGUGUGAGUGAAGAAGGUUUUCGGAUCGUAAAACUCUGUUGUUAGAGAAGAACGACGAGGAGAGUGGAAAGCUCCUUGUGUGGCGGUAUCUAACCAGAAAGGGACGGCUAACUACGUGCCAGCAGCCGCGGUAAUCUCCAG